AUUGAACGCUGGCGGCAUGCUUUACACAUGCAAGUCGAACGGUAACAGGUCUUCGGAUGCUGACGAGUGGCGAACGGGUGAGUAAUACAUCGGAACGUGCCUAGUAGUGGGGGAUAACUACUCGAAAGAGUAGCUAAUACCGCAUGAGAUCUACGGAUGAAAGCAGGGGACCUUCGGGCCUUGUGCUACUAGAGCGGCUGAUGGCAGAUUAGGUAGUUGGUGGGGUAAAGGCUUACCAAGCCUGCGAUCUGUAGCUGGUCUGAGAGGACGACCAGCCACACUGGGACUGAGACACGGCCCAGACUCCUACGGGAGGCAGCAGUGGGGAAUUUUGGACAAUGGGCGAAAGCCUGAUCCAGCAAUGCCGCGUGCAGGAUGAAGGCCCUCGGGUUGUAAACCGCUUUUGUACGGAACGAAAAGCCUGGGGCUAAUAUCCCCGGGUCAUGACGGUACCGUAAGAAUAAGCACCGGCUAACUCUGUGCCAGCCGCCGCAGUAA
This 498-nucleotide ribosomal RNA is filed under the name uncultured bacterium. RNAcentral describes it as "partial 16S ribosomal RNA". It matches the Rfam family "Bacterial small subunit ribosomal RNA", at positions 30 to 523 of the family's 1533-position model. The record is from RNAcentral.